Medicago truncatula (barrel medic) is the source of this 288-nucleotide long non-coding RNA. RefSeq lists it as uncharacterized. The transcript has 4 exons. The record is from RefSeq and is a predicted model, not a curated record. NCBI's taxonomy places the organism in Eukaryota, Viridiplantae, Streptophyta, Magnoliopsida, Fabales, Fabaceae.
UGUUUAUCAACCGUGUCUUGGUGCAAUGGUGUUGGAAAUGAGGCUCUUGUAGUUGUUGAAUCCAAGGAUCAAUGCAAGACUAAGGGUCAAUCUGAUGAGCACAAGACUCUUCGUCGGCUGAUGCAGAAUCGCGAGGCUGCAAGGAAAAGUAGGUUAAGGAAAAAGGCUUAUGUGCAACAAUUGGAGAACAGUCGACUUAGGCUUGCUCAAAUAGAACAUGAGCUUCAACAAGGUACAUUUGUUGGAAUUGGAGUUACAGCGGAUCAUGGUCAUUCAAUUGUUGGAAAC